Molecule: ribosomal RNA, 911 nt
Filed under: uncultured marine group I thaumarchaeote
Lineage: Archaea; Thermoproteati; Nitrososphaerota
Description: bacterial SSU rRNA
Rfam family: Archaeal small subunit ribosomal RNA
Source: RNAcentral
UUCCGGUUGAUCCUGCCGGACCUGACUGCUAUCGGAUUGAUACUAAGCCAUGCGAGUUUUUGCAGUAAUGCAAGGCAUACGGCUCAGUAACACGUAGUCAACUUACCCUAUGGACGAGGAUAAUCUCGGGAAACUGAGCAUAAUACUCGAUAGAUCAUAAUGCCUGGAAUGGUUUAUGGUUGAAACGAUUCGUCGCCAUAGGAUAGGACCGCGGCCUAUCAGCUUGUUGGUGAGGUAAUGGCCCACCAAGGCGAUUACAGGUACGGGCUCUGAGAGGAGAAGCCCGGAGAUGGGUACUGAGACAAGGACCCAGGCCCUAUGGGGCGCAGCAGGCGAGAAAACUUUGCAAUGUGCGAAAGCACGACAAGGUUAAUCCGAGUGAUUUCUGCUAAAGAAAUCUUUUGCAAGUCAUAAAACCACUAGUGAAUAAGGGGUGGGCAAGUUCUGGUGUCAGCCGCCGCGGUAAAACCAGCACCUCAAGUGGUCAGGAGGAUUAUUGGGCCUAAAGCAUCCGUAGCCGGCUCUGUAAGUUUUCGGUUAAAUCCAUGUGCUCAACGCAUGGGCUGUCGAAAAUACUGCAUAGCUAGGGAGUGGGAGAGGUAGACGGUACUCGGUAGGAAGGGGUAAAAUCCUUUGAUCUAUCGAUGACCACCUGUGGCGAAGGCGGUCUACCAGAACACGUUCGACGGUGAGGGAUGAAAGCUGGGGGAGCAAACCGGAUUAGAUACCCGGGUAGUCCCAGCUGUAAACGAUGCAGACUCGAUGAUGUAUUGGCAUAUAGCCAGUGCAGUGUCGCAGGAAGCCGUUAAGUCUGCCGCCUGGGAAGUACGUACGCAAGUAUGAAACUUAAAGGAAUUGGCGGGGGAGCACCACAAGGGUGAAGCCUGCGGUUCAUUGGAUUCACGCCGGAA